AUUGAACGCUGGCGGCAUGCCUUACACAUGCAAGUCGAACGGCAGCGCGGGAGCAAUCCUGGCGGCGAGUGGCGAACGGGUGAGUAAUAUAUCGGAACGUGCCCAGUAGUGGGGGAUAGCCCGGCGAAAGCCGGAUUAAUACCGCAUGAGACCUGAGGGUGAAAGCGGGGGAUCGCAAGACCUCGCGCUACUGGAGCGGCCGAUAUCAGAUUAGCUAGUUGGUGGGGUAAAGGCCUACCAAGGCAACGAUCUGUAGUUGGUCUGAGAGGACGACCAGCCACACUGGGACUGAGACACGGCCCAGACUCCUACGGGAGGCAGCAGUGGGGAAUUUUGGACAAUGGGCGCAAGCCUGAUCCAGCAAUGCCGCGUGCAGGAAGAAGGCCUCGGUUGGUU
This 396-nucleotide ribosomal RNA is filed under the name uncultured bacterium. RNAcentral describes it as "bacterial SSU rRNA". It matches the Rfam family "Bacterial small subunit ribosomal RNA", at positions 29 to 424 of the family's 1533-position model. The record is from RNAcentral.